AACAGUUUUAAGGACUAAUCGAUAAAUCCUCUCUUUAUCGAACUUAAAUAGUCCUAAGAACUUCAUCAUAACAAUGGAGUUCAUUAGAAGAUAAAAGCUUAUGAUGAAAAUGCCAAAUAUAUUUUAUUUAUUAACAAAUCAAUUACAAUACUUGGUUGCUCAACCGUCAACAGCUUGACGAUUGGCUUUUUGGGACACAUUUCCCAAUAGAAACUUCUUUUUCAAAAAGACUACCCGACUGCUAACAAACACCUUUUAUUUUGCAGUGAGAUAGAAGUAGUACCCUUUAGUUUUUUUUGGGUACCUUACAAAUAAGCAUCUAUUGGAUUUUGGUCCAAGCUUAUCUAUUUUUAAAUGCUUGACAUAAGCUGGACACCCCC
This 380-nucleotide long non-coding RNA is filed under the name Elaeis guineensis (African oil palm). RNAcentral describes it as "long non-coding RNA (EGUI_LNC060686)". Lineage: Eukaryota; Viridiplantae; Streptophyta; Magnoliopsida; Arecales; Arecaceae. The record is from RNAcentral.